This 44-nucleotide non-coding RNA is filed under the name Trypanosoma brucei brucei. The record is from RNAcentral. Lineage: Eukaryota; Euglenozoa; Kinetoplastea; Trypanosomatida; Trypanosomatidae.
AACAACGCGAUAUCCAAGUAAGAUUGUGUAAGUGAAAUAUAGUU